UCCUGAUUAGCUCAGCUGGCAAAGCGCUCCAGUAGAAAUGGAGAGCUGCCUGGUUUAAUACCAGGACCAGGCG
This 73-nucleotide transfer RNA is filed under the name Ixodes scapularis (black-legged tick). Its description in RNAcentral is "tRNA-Ser". The record is from RNAcentral. Lineage: Eukaryota; Metazoa; Arthropoda; Arachnida; Ixodida; Ixodidae.